AUGAGCUUAGGUUAAAAUAAACCAAUUGCCUUCAAAGCAAUAAAUAAACAAAAGUUUAGCUCUUA
RNAcentral lists this transfer RNA (65 nucleotides) under Ophiacantha linea. Its description in RNAcentral is "tRNA-Trp". It matches the Rfam family "tRNA". Rfam says of the family: Transfer RNA (tRNA) molecules are approximately 80 nucleotides in length. Their secondary structure includes four short double-helical elements and three loops (D, anti-codon, and T loops). Lineage: Eukaryota; Metazoa; Echinodermata; Ophiuroidea; Amphilepidida; Ophiacanthidae. The record is from RNAcentral.